GGUGACUAUCACUUACUGAGCACUCCAAGAAGUAGGUGCUAGAUGCUCUGUUAGGUUUGUUAUGAAUAUUAUUAUCUCUGAGUCUUCUCAAGGACCCAAUAAAACAGAUCUUGUUUCACAAGGGAACUAAGGCAUUGAGAGAAUGUGUCCCACUUCAUCCUUCUUCCCCCUUUUCUUUGGUUUCACUUUGUAGCUUAGGUGACCUAGAACUUUCCAUUUUCUUGCCUAGAACAUUCCAUUUUCUUGAAGAUGAGCACCCCUUUGAUGGGAGGUUAAACCAGGACUAAGCCUUGGGGUUUCUCAUUUACUCCUAUCAGAAACGAUAAUUAUCAGGCUUGUCCUUUCCAUAGCCUCACAGAAGACUCCCUUUCAGGUGACUGGAGCAGGGCUGGGUGGAUCUCCUACCUGUGGCUGUGUCUCACUGGUGUAUUGGGACCCAAGGUUACCAGAAUGAGAUGAAAGCUUUAUAUCAUCACCCCCCACCCACUUAUAGGAGCAAAAAACAAGAAACAAUGAACCAUUUCUCAUGGCUCACAGCCAGAGUUCUGCAACUCCACCCACAACCAGACAACCAUAUUGGAACCACUGUGCUUGGGUGUCACAUGAUCCAGCCUCAAGGCCACCUCUUUGCCUGUUCUUUUCUCCUAGGGAACUUGGAGAAACAAGUAUGUGAGAACAUUCUCAGUGGCAUCUUCUGCAUCUCGGAAAAGUCUCUGGAGAAGGAGGGAGCUGAAGAAAUUCUGUCCUGUGUUGUUACCUGAUGCCUUAAGACUCUUGCAGACCUGCAGGAGGGGUUGGAGAAAUGCGUCAUGACAAACUCUCCAGGUGAUCCAGGUGGUUAUCUUCUAUAAAGUAUUCCUUAAGUUUUGAGAAAAAUCUACCAGGGAAUAAGACAUCAACUCCCUGAAUGCAUUUAAGAUGUGAUUGCACACACUUUCAGGAGCAUAAGGCCUAUCACUUCCUUCUAUGGAGGUAGAAGGGAUACGUUGUCAUCUUUGAAAGGUGAGAUGUAAGGACCACAUGUGCCCAAAGGCCUCUUGAUAUUAGAGGUGUGGUGGUCAUACAUUUUCUUUGUCUAUAUUCCAGUGGCUUUGUCCUGAGAACACCUUUCCUUCGUAGUUAAGUUUCUAGGAGUGACCACCAGCUGUGCUGAUUCUCUUCUCUGGCUUCUGUCCUGUCUGCCUUCUUUGCAGUAUUGGGAGCUCCCAAGAACAUCUCCAUGGAAAGGCUUCUCUCCUCUGGCUUCUGGGAAACCUGCUCCUUCCAUGUAUCUUCUCUAAGUGCUUCUGAGGAUCCUACUCAACACUGGGCACACGCUCUCACCUGUAGACCAUCUUGAGUACAGCAAGACCAUAUUCUUGUCUCGCUUCCUGUGUGGUGCCCAGGGUUAGCUCCUUCCACAAGAAUCUUCAGCUUAAUCAAGAGGACCCAAGAAAAGGAAUUCAGGUACACCUUUCAUGUCAUUCUCCAAGUAGAGCUUUGCCUGCAGCUUGAAGCUUGGGUCUCACCUUCGAGUGCUGGGUGUAAGUAGCCCUAGGUAUGGCUGUCUGGUCUGCACCUCAUCUCUGGGUGUCACAGAGAGCAUGUUUGGUAUUGGAUUCCACUAAGAAUUCUACUCAGUUUGGAAGAACCGUUUGUCCUUUAAGUCCUUGGUCUGGACACCUGGUUCCAGGACAGUUGUGGCAGUGGAAGAUCUUGAUGGGCACUGACCCUUGUUCUGAGAGUCUUCCAUAGGAAGACCCAAGAGCCAGACCCAGGAGC
RNAcentral lists this long non-coding RNA (1761 nucleotides) under Mus spicilegus (steppe mouse). RNAcentral's name for it is "lncRNA (ENSMSIG00000028036.1)". Lineage: Eukaryota; Metazoa; Chordata; Mammalia; Rodentia; Muridae. The record is from RNAcentral.